RNAcentral lists this ribosomal RNA (253 nucleotides) under uncultured bacterium. RNAcentral describes it as "partial 16S ribosomal RNA". It matches the Rfam family "Bacterial small subunit ribosomal RNA", at positions 524 to 776 of the family's 1533-position model. The record is from RNAcentral.
UACAGAGGUCCCGAGCGUUGUUCGGAUUCAUUGGGCGUAAAGGGUGCGUAGGCGGCGGGGCAAGUCUGAUGUGAAAUCCCGGGGCUCAACCCCGGAACUGCAUUGGAUACUGCCUUGCUAGAGUACUGGAGAGGGAACUGGAAUUUACGGUGUAGCAGUGAAAUGCGUAGAGAUCGUAAGGAAGGCCAGUGGCGAAGGCGAGUUCCUGGACAGUUACUGACGCUGAUGUGCGAAAGCGUGGGGAGCAAACAGG